Molecule: ribosomal RNA, 373 nt
Filed under: uncultured Glomeromycotina
Lineage: Eukaryota; Fungi; Glomeromycota
Description: LSU rRNA
Source: RNAcentral
UUGAAAGGGAAACGAUUGAAGUCAGCCGUACCAGCGGGGAAUCAACCUUUCGAGUGGGGUUUUGGAGUUUUUUGAAGAGUGUCAAAACCUUUAUUUCAAAAUAUUCGCUCUUUUGGUGUACUUUCUCGUGGGUAGGUUAACAUCGAUUUUGAUCAUCAUAAAAAGAUUGGAGGAAUGUAGCUUCGAUCUUGUAUUGAAGUGUUAUAGCCUUUGGUAAAUGUGAUGAUUAGGAUCGAGGAUUGCAACGAAUACCCUUUUGGGCUAUCCGCCUGAUCUCUGAUACGUGGCCUUGGUAUCGAAAGCGUGCUUAUGGUAUUGAGGUAUUACGGUCAAAAGGUUAGAACGGAUUACAUUCGUUAAGGAUGUUGACGUA